AUUGAACGCUGGCGGCAGGCCUAACACAUGCAAGUCGAACGGUAACAGGAAACAGCUUGCUGUUUCGCUGACGAGUGGCGGACGGGUGAGUAAUGUCUGGGAAACUGCCUGAUGGAGUGGGAUAACUACUGGAAACGGUAGCUAAUACCGCAUAACGUCGCAAGACCAAAGAGGGGGACCUUCGGGCCUCUUGCCAUCGGAUGUGCCCAGAUGGGAUUAGCUAGUAGGUGGGGUAACGGCUCACCUAGGCGACGAUCCCUAGCUGGUCUGAGAGGAUGACCAGCCACACUGGAACUGAGACACGGUCCAGACUCCUACGGGAGGCAGCAGUGGGGAAUAUUGCACAAUGGGCGCAAGCCUGAUGCAGCCAUGCCGCGUGUAUGAAGAAGGCCUUCGGGUUGUAAAGUACUUUCAGCGGGGAUGAAGGGAGUAAAGUUAAUACCUUUGCUCAUUGACGUUACCCGCAGAAGAAGCACCGGCUAACUCCGUG
RNAcentral lists this ribosomal RNA (490 nucleotides) under uncultured bacterium. Its description in RNAcentral is "partial 16S ribosomal RNA". It matches the Rfam family "Bacterial small subunit ribosomal RNA", at positions 30 to 507 of the family's 1533-position model. The record is from RNAcentral.